GACGAACGCUGGCGGCGUGCCUAAUACAUGCAAGUCGAACGCACUCUCGUUUAGAUUGAAGGAGCUUGCUCCUGAUUGAUAAACAUUUGAGUGAGUGGCGGACGGGUGAGUAACACGUGGGUAACCUGCCCUAAAGUGGGGGAUAACAUUUGGAAACAGAUGCUAAUACCGCAUAAAACCUAACACCGCAUGGUGUAGGGUUGAAAGAUGGUUUCGGCUAUCACUUUAGGAUGGACCCGCGGUGCAUUAGUUAGUUGGUGAGGUAAAGGCUCACCAAGACCGUGAUGCAUAGCCGACCUGAGAGGGUAAUCGGCCACACUGGGACUGAGACACGGCCCAGACUCCUACGGAGGCAGCAGUAGGGAAUCUUCCACAAUGGACGAAAGUCUGAUGGAGCAAACGCCGCGUGAGUGAAGAAGGUUUUCGGAUCGUAAAAACUCUGUUGUUGGAGAAGAAAUGUAUCUGAUAGUAACUGAUCAGGUAGUGACGGUAUCCAACCAGAAAG
Molecule: ribosomal RNA, 505 nt
Filed under: uncultured bacterium
Lineage: Bacteria
Description: bacterial SSU rRNA
Rfam family: Bacterial small subunit ribosomal RNA
Source: RNAcentral